This 497-nucleotide ribosomal RNA is filed under the name uncultured bacterium. RNAcentral's name for it is "partial 16S ribosomal RNA". It matches the Rfam family "Bacterial small subunit ribosomal RNA", at positions 28 to 507 of the family's 1533-position model. The record is from RNAcentral.
GAUGAAUGCUGGCGGCGUGCCUAAUACAUGCAAGUCGAGCGAACAGACGAGGAGCUUGCUCCUCUGACGUUAGCGGCGGACGGGUGAGUAACACGUGGAUAACCUACCUAUAAGACUGGGAUAACUUCGGGAAACCGGAGCUAAUACCGGAUAACAUGUUGAACCGCAUGGUUCAACAGUGAAAGACGGUCUUGCUGUCACUUAUAGAUGGAUCCGCGCCGCAUUAGCUAGUUGGUAAGGUAACGGCUUACCAAGGCAACGAUGCGUAGCCGACCUGAGAGGGUGAUCGGCCACACUGGAACUGAGACACGGUCCAGACUCCUACGGGAGGCAGCAGUAGGGAAUCUUCCGCAAUGGGCGAAAUCCUGACGGAGCAACGCCGCGUGAGUGAAGAAGGUCUUCGGAUCGUAAAACUCUGUUAUUAGGGAAGAACAAAUGUGUAAGUAACUAUGCACGUCUUGACGGUACCUAAUCAGAAAGCCACGGCUAACUACGUG